AUCAUCUGACGAGUCCCAAAUAGGACGAAAUGCGUAUCCUGGAU
Molecule: non-coding RNA, 44 nt
Filed under: Trichobilharzia regenti
Lineage: Eukaryota; Metazoa; Platyhelminthes; Trematoda; Strigeidida; Schistosomatidae
Source: RNAcentral